Prionailurus viverrinus (fishing cat) is the source of this 548-nucleotide long non-coding RNA. RefSeq lists it as uncharacterized. NCBI's taxonomy places the organism in Eukaryota, Metazoa, Chordata, Mammalia, Carnivora, Felidae. The record is from RefSeq and is a predicted model, not a curated record. The transcript is spliced from 5 exons.
UAUAAAAGAAGCUGUAAGAUCCUUGCUCGGGGCCUCUUAGCGUCACCGGCAACGAGUGCGCAGGGGACCAGGUUUGAACCUGCAAUAAAGGACCCUUGCCGCUUGGCUUUGACUCUGGACUCUGGUGGAAUCGUUAUUGGAUUAAAUGAGAAAACACGUUUUCUGGAGCCUGUGCCUGGCCUGUGCUCAGCACUCAGCGAAGGUUAGCAUUGUCCUCUUCCAGCAAAUGAGAAAGAAAUAAGAUUACCAUCAUUACUACUGAGUGAUUCUCCCUGCCUUCCAUCAAUGAACUCAUACUGGGAAUGUGGGGGAGAACUCAGUGAGCUUUUAAUUAAAAAAUACCGAGCACUAUCUCAAUACAAUAGAAUUGGAAGAAACUAAAGUUGGGGAUUUCCCAAUGAUUUUAUUGAGUGUAGUUCUGAAGUGAAACUGUGAGACCAAAACCGAGAAGAAACUUUGCUUCAUCUGAAAUUUCUCCUGAACAGAAGAGGGACCUGCCAAGUGACUAUGCCCGCUCGAACUGCCAAGGCUGCCAGACAACCUCCUCC